This 490-nucleotide ribosomal RNA is filed under the name uncultured bacterium. RNAcentral's name for it is "partial 16S ribosomal RNA". It matches the Rfam family "Bacterial small subunit ribosomal RNA", at positions 30 to 507 of the family's 1533-position model. The record is from RNAcentral.
AUUGAACGCUGGCGGCAUGCUUUACACAUGCAAGUCGGACGGCAGCACAGAGAAGCUUGCUUCUUGGGUGGCGAGUGGCGAACGGGUGAGUAAUAUAUCGGAACGUACCGAGUAAUGGGGGAUAACUAAUAGAAAGAUUAGCUAAUACCGCAUAUUCUCUGAGGAGGAAAGCAGGGGACAUUCGGGCCUUGCGUUAUUCGAGCGGCCGAUAUCUGAUUAGCUAGUUGGUGGGGUAAAGGCCUACCAAGGCGACGAUCAGUAGCGGGUCUGAGAGGAUGAUCCGCCACACUGGGACUGAGACACGGCCCAGACUCCUACGGGAGGCAGCAGUGGGGAAUUUUGGACAAUGGGCGCAAGCCUGAUCCAGCCAUGCCGCGUGUCUGAAGAAGGCCUUCGGGUUGUAAAGGACUUUUGUCAGGGAAGAAAAGGCUGUUGCUAAUAUCGACAGCUGAUGACGGUACCUGAAGAAUAAGCACCGGCUAACUACGUG